GAUCCUGGCUCAGGAUGAACGCUGGCGGCGUGCCUAAUACAUGCAAGUCGAACGCACAGCGAAAGGUGCUUGCACCUUUCAAGUGAGUGGCGAACGGGUGAGUAACACGUGGAUAACCUACCUCAAGGUUGGGGAUAACAUUUGGAAACAGAUGCUAAUACCGAAUAAAACUUCGUAUCGCAUGAUACAAGGUUAAAAGGCGCUACGGCGUCACCUAGAGAUGGAUCCGCGGUGCAUUAGUUAGUUGGUGGGGUAAAGGCCUACCAAGACAAUGAUGCAUAGCCGAGUUGAGAGACUGAUCGGCCACAUUGGGACUGAGACACGGUCCAAACUCCUACGGGAGGCUGCAGUAGGGAAUCUUCCACAAUGGGCGAAAGCCUAAUGGAGCAACGCCGCGUGUGUGAUGAAGGCUUUCGGGUCGUAAAGCACUGUUGUAUGGGAAGAACAGCUAGAGUAGGGAAUGACUUUAGUUUGACGGUACCAUACCAGAAAGGGACGGCUAAAUACGUG
This 510-nucleotide ribosomal RNA is filed under the name uncultured bacterium. RNAcentral's name for it is "bacterial SSU rRNA". It matches the Rfam family "Bacterial small subunit ribosomal RNA", at positions 15 to 507 of the family's 1533-position model. The record is from RNAcentral.